Molecule: ribosomal RNA, 343 nt
Filed under: Gammaproteobacteria bacterium
Lineage: Bacteria; Pseudomonadati; Pseudomonadota; Gammaproteobacteria
Description: partial 23S ribosomal RNA
Rfam family: Bacterial large subunit ribosomal RNA
Source: RNAcentral
CGCGAGCUGGGUUUAGAACGUCGUGAGACAGUUCGGUCCCUAUCUGCCGUGGGCGCAGGAGAUUUGCGAAGAGUUGCCCCUAGUACGAGAGGACCGGGGUGAACGAACCGCUGGUGUUCGGGUUGUCUCGCCAGAGGCAUUGCCCGGUAGCUAUGUUCGGACGGGAUAACCGCUGAAGGCAUCUAAGCGGGAAGCCUCCUUCAAGACGAGAUCUCCCUGAGGAUCCGGGCUUGCCUGGCUCCUCCUGAAGUGCCGUUGAAGACGACGACGUUGAUAGGCCGGGUGUGUAAGCGCUGUGAGGCGUUGAGCUAACCGGUACUAAUUGCACGUGAGGCUUGAUCGC